This 563-nucleotide ribosomal RNA is filed under the name uncultured bacterium. Its description in RNAcentral is "bacterial SSU rRNA". It matches the Rfam family "Bacterial small subunit ribosomal RNA", at positions 338 to 916 of the family's 1533-position model. The record is from RNAcentral.
CCUACGGGGGGGCAGCAGUGGGGAAUCUUGCGCAAUGGGCGAAAGCCUGACGCAGCAACGCCGCGUGCGGGAAGAAGGCUUUCGGGCUGUAAACCGCUUUCAGCAGGAACGAAAAUGACGGUACCUGCAGAAGAAGGAGCGGCCAACUAUGUGCCAGCAGCCGCGGUGAUACAUAGGCUUCAAGCGUUGUCCGGAUUUAUUGGGCGUAAAGAGUUCGUAGGCGGUCAAGUAAGUCGGGUGUGAAAAUUCUGGGCUCAACCCAGAGACGCCACCCGAUACUGCUUAACUUGAGUUCGAUAGGGGAGUGGGGAAUUCCUAGUGUAGCGGUGAAAUGCGCAGAUAUUAGGAGGAACACCGGUGGCGAAGGCGCCACUCUGGAUCGAUACUGACGCUGAGGAACGAAAGCAUGGGUAGCAAACAGGAUUAGAUACCCUGGUAGUCCAUGCCGUAAACGGUGGGCACUAGGUGUGGGUUUCUAUUAACGAAAUCCGCGCCGUCGCUAACGCAUUAAGUGCCCCGCCUGGGGAUACGGUCGCAAGACUAAAACUCAAAGGAAUUGACGG